This 253-nucleotide ribosomal RNA is filed under the name uncultured bacterium. Its description in RNAcentral is "partial 16S ribosomal RNA". It matches the Rfam family "Bacterial small subunit ribosomal RNA", at positions 524 to 776 of the family's 1533-position model. The record is from RNAcentral.
UACGUAGGGUGCGAGCGUUGUCCGGAAUUACUGGGCGUAAAGGGCUCGUAGGCGGCCAACUAAGUCAGACGUGAAAUCCCUCGGCUUAACCGGGGAACUGCGUCUGAUACUGGAUGGCUCGAGUUUGGGAGAGGGAUGCGGAAUUCCAGGUGUAGCGGUGAAAUGCGUAGAUAUCGUAAGGAAGGCCAGUGGCGAAGGCGAGUUCCUGGACAGUUACUGACGCUGAGGCACGAAGGCCAGGGGAGCAAACGGG